AUAUUUGACAAUGGGCGAAAGCCUGAUCCAGCAAUGCCGCGUGAGUGAUGAUGGCCUUCGGGUUGUAAUGCUCUUUUACUAGGGAUGAUAAUGAUAGUACUUGGAGAAUAAGCUUCGGCUAGCUCCGUGACAGCAGCCGCGGUAAUACGGAGGGAGCUAGGGUUGUUCGGAAAUACUGGGCGUAAAGCGCACGUAGGCGGCGACGUAAGUCAGGGGUGAAAUCCCGGGGCUCAACCCCGGAACUGCCUUUGAAACUGCAGUGCUAGAAUAUUGGAGAGGUCAGUGGAAUUCCGAGUGUAGAGGUGAAAUUCGUAGAUAUUCGGAAGAACACCAGUGGCGAAGGCGACUGACUGGACAAGUAUUGACGCUGAGGUGCGAAAGCGUGGGGAGCAAACA
RNAcentral lists this ribosomal RNA (396 nucleotides) under uncultured bacterium. RNAcentral's name for it is "partial 16S ribosomal RNA". It matches the Rfam family "Bacterial small subunit ribosomal RNA", at positions 361 to 774 of the family's 1533-position model. The record is from RNAcentral.